GAUUUUUUAGUAUAUAAGUACAUUAGACUUCCAAUCUUAAAGACUGAGUUUCAGAAAAAUUA
This 62-nucleotide transfer RNA is filed under the name Eiconaxius sp. 1 QK-2020. Its description in RNAcentral is "tRNA-Gly". It matches the Rfam family "tRNA". Rfam says of the family: Transfer RNA (tRNA) molecules are approximately 80 nucleotides in length. Their secondary structure includes four short double-helical elements and three loops (D, anti-codon, and T loops). Lineage: Eukaryota; Metazoa; Arthropoda; Malacostraca; Decapoda; Axiidae. The record is from RNAcentral.